CGGACUGUAGCGCAGCUUGGUAGCGCACCGUCAUGGGGUGUCGGGGGUCGCAAGUUCAAAUCUUGUCAGUCCGACCA
Molecule: transfer RNA, 77 nt
Filed under: Vibrio sp.
Lineage: Bacteria; Pseudomonadati; Pseudomonadota; Gammaproteobacteria; Vibrionales; Vibrionaceae
Also listed under: 20 other names
Description: tRNA-Pro
Rfam family: tRNA
About the family: Transfer RNA (tRNA) molecules are approximately 80 nucleotides in length. Their secondary structure includes four short double-helical elements and three loops (D, anti-codon, and T loops).
Source: RNAcentral